UCAUUGAAAUCAAGCACAAAGAAUCGCUGCACAUUACAAACAUAACACAUUAGAUUGGCUAAAGUUAGAUAUGUUUCAAAUGAAAUCAUAUAUAAAUGUGUAGUGCAUUUAAUUACCUGGAGGUCGCCCUUGACGACCUCAAUUUAGAAAAAAGAACAUGAAAUAUUUGUAAGUUAAAAUGAAGAAAAUUCUUAGACUCACCCGUAUUGUCGCCCACAGAUGAUGACCCUCCCGCGAUGUUAUUAUCUAAAUCGUCCUCAAACUGGAGGAACAUAUCGUCCGUCUCCAUAAAAUUUGAUGGUCGAUAUGACAUAAUGGCUAUGGACAUAGAAAACAAACAUUUUCAAUUUAACUUAAACCUCCCUCUCCCCAGAUAAGUAGUAAUUCCAUUUCAUAAUAAUUACACGACCACUGUACACAAGAUAAUCUUCCCCAUAGAAUUUCUAUCAGAUCAAGACAUCUCGGUAUAGACUUAAGCAUAUUCAAAAAUCUCAUGCUAAAACUUUAACUUUCUUAAGUUAGCAUGCUUAUGAAAAAAGAAACUCUUGCAUUAAGCAAGUCUCAAAUCUAGCUUUGCUUUAAAUUAUCUCUUUGCUCUAAUAUUUUCAGAAACUUAGCAUUCUAACACAUUCAAUAAACACCCCCCCCAAUUCAAUAUAACCUCAAAAAUCUCUACACAUUCAAAUUUUUUAUCAAUCUCAAAUUCAAUUUCAACUUCAAUCUCAACGUCAAUCUUAAAUCCUAAAACCACUUCAAAUUCAAAUUCAACACUAAAACCUAAAACUAAUUCAAAAUCUAUAUCCUAAAACUAUUUCAAAAUCUAAAUUCUAAAACUAAUCCUAAAACUAAUUAACUAAAGCAAAACUAAAACAAAAACAAAAAAGAACUUUAAACAAUUUCAAUAAUACAUACAUUUUUUUAACUUUGAAACAAAAAAAAAAACAAAAAAACAAACAAACCCGAAACUAAUUUUUAUCAAAAAAAACCCUAAAAAAACUAAAUAAAUUUACAUAUUUCACUUACCUAAAGUGGCAGACGGCGACGAGGAACAACGGCGAGGCGGUCGGCGACGGACGGCGGCGGAACAAAAGGAAAGCACGGCCGGGCGACGUUCUUCUUCUUCUCCUUUCUUUUUCUCCUCUCCUCUCGGCUUCGGUUCUGUGAAUACAGAACUGAAACGAAUUUAAAGGGGAUUUCCCGACGCAGUGACGUGGCGUCGGGAAAUCCCUCAAAAUGCGUCGGGAAAAGGGGAAUUCCCGACGCUCAUUAAACCCCUUUUCCCGACGUUUAACGCGGCGUCGGGAAAAACCCCUAUUCCCGACGCCGCUCCCGACGCACUGUUCACGGCGUCGGGAAAAACCCCUUUUCCCGAUUUACUUUUUGCCGACGCCUUCAUGUUGCGUCGGGAAAAAAGGUUUUCCC
Cucumis melo (muskmelon) is the source of this 1422-nucleotide long non-coding RNA. RefSeq lists it as uncharacterized. The record is from RefSeq and is a predicted model, not a curated record. The transcript is spliced from 2 exons. Lineage: Eukaryota; Viridiplantae; Streptophyta; Magnoliopsida; Cucurbitales; Cucurbitaceae.